This 73-nucleotide transfer RNA is filed under the name Lyngbya confervoides BDU141951. RNAcentral's name for it is "tRNA-Arg". It matches the Rfam family "tRNA". From Rfam's summary of the family: Transfer RNA (tRNA) molecules are approximately 80 nucleotides in length. The record is from RNAcentral. Lineage: Bacteria; Bacillati; Cyanobacteriota; Cyanophyceae; Oscillatoriales; Microcoleaceae.
GCGCUCGUAGCUCAGGGGAUAGAGCAACCGCCUUCUAAGCGGUCGGUCAUUGGUUCGAAUCCAAUCGGGCGUG